Molecule: long non-coding RNA, 201 nt
Filed under: Olea europaea subsp. europaea
Lineage: Eukaryota; Viridiplantae; Streptophyta; Magnoliopsida; Lamiales; Oleaceae
Source: RNAcentral
GGGGGGGGGGGGGGGGGGGGGGUUAAUUUUGCUUCAUCUGCUUUGAUCAUCAUGUGUUAGGGCUUAAAGUCUUUAUUCCUAUACCUUCGCGAUUUGAUUCUGUUUUGUGUCAGAAUUCCUACAUUGUAUUGUCAAUAGAAAUCUGUGAAUUGAAACACGUGGAUGAAUACUUAUAAAUUAUUAUCCUCUUUUGAUAUGGAC